Molecule: long non-coding RNA, 181 nt
Organism: Octopus sinensis (East Asian common octopus)
Lineage: Eukaryota; Metazoa; Mollusca; Cephalopoda; Octopoda; Octopodidae
Exons: 3
Source: RefSeq, a predicted model, not a curated record
UAUAAUAAUCAUUUAAUCAUCGACCCGGCAAGCCAAAUGAGAUCAUAACUUCGUGGCCUAUGCAAGGGGUGUAACCAGCCCACUUUAUGCGUACCUUUCCUUCAUUGGACACUAAACUCUGCUUGCGAAGACCUGUUGAUGCAAGUGAAAUCGAAAUCAAAUUAGACGACUGGCAUCCGUG